UUGACUGUACUUCUACAGGAUCUUUUCUGUAGGAAUACAUAAACUCGACUUUUUUGAGUCAAUCUGACCUUUGAGGUUAACCAAGAUGAAGACUCUGUAGUCACAUAUCUUGAGCAUGAUAUCGAACUGGAAACAUGCUUCGCUGUAGGUUUCCUCGUUCAUAGAUGAUUGCUGCAUUCCUUACCAGCCAUGGUUUGUGAAUGGGGGAUUUGUGAACAUGCAGAUUGGU
Molecule: small nucleolar RNA, 229 nt
Organism: Naegleria gruberi
Lineage: Eukaryota; Heterolobosea; Eutetramitea; Acrasida; Naegleriidae
Rfam family: Small nucleolar RNA U3
About the family: Small nucleolar RNAs (snoRNAs) are involved in the processing and modification of rRNA in the nucleolus. There are two main classes of snoRNAs: the box C/D class, and the box H/ACA class.
Source: Rfam